RNAcentral lists this ribosomal RNA (254 nucleotides) under Salmonella enterica subsp. enterica serovar Heidelberg. Its description in RNAcentral is "partial 23S ribosomal RNA". It matches the Rfam family "Bacterial large subunit ribosomal RNA", at positions 1547 to 1782 of the family's 2925-position model. The record is from RNAcentral. RNAcentral also lists the same sequence under 3 other names. Lineage: Bacteria; Pseudomonadati; Pseudomonadota; Gammaproteobacteria; Enterobacterales; Enterobacteriaceae.
ACUUUAACACUGAGGCGUGACGACGAGGCACUACGGUGCUGAAGCAACAAAUGCCCUGCUUCCAGGAAAAGCCUCUAAGCAUCAGGUAACAUCAAAUCGUACCCCAAACCGACACAGGUGGUCAGGUAGAGAAUACCAAGGCGCUUGAGAGAACUCGGGUGAAGGAACUAGGCAAAAUGGUGCCGUAACUUCGGGAGAAGGCACGCUGACACGUAGGUGAAGUGAUUUACUCAUGGAGCUGAAGUCAGUCGAAG